GAGUAACGCGUAGACAACCUGCCGUAAAGAUGGGGACAACAGUUCGAAAGGACUGCUAAUACCGAAUGUUGUAGAGUUUCCGCAUGGGAAUCCUACUAAAGGUGGCCUCUACUUGUAAGCUAUCGCUUUACGAUGGGUCUGCGUCUGAUUAGCUAGUUGGUGGGGUAACGGCCUACCAAGGCGACGAUCAGUAGCCGGUCUGAGAGGAUGAACGGCCACAUUGGAACUGAGACACGGUCCAGACUCCUACGGGAGGCAGCAGUGGGGAAUCUUCCGCAAUGGGCGCAAGCCUGACGGAGCAACGCCGCGUGAGUGAAGAAGGGUUUCGACUCGUAAAGCUCUGUUGUCGGGGACGAAUGUGGAGAUGGUGAAUAACCGUUUUCAAUGACGGUACCUGACGAGGAAGCCACGGCUAACUACGUGCCAGCAGCCGCGGUAAUACGUAGGUGGCGAGCGUUGUCCGGAAUUAUUGGGCGUAAAGGGAGCGCAGGCGGGAAGGUAAGUCUAUCUUAAAAGUGCGGGGCUCAACCCCGUGAGGGGAUGGAAACUAUCUUUCUUGAGUGCAGGAGAGGAAAGCGGAAUUCCUAGUGUAGCGGUGAAAUGCGUAGAUAUUAGGAGGAACACCAGUGGCGAAGGCGGCUUUCUGGACUGUAACUGACGCUGAGGCUCGAAAGCGUGGGGAGCGAACAGGAUUAGAUACCCUGGUAGUCCACGCCGUAAACGAUGAAUGCUAGGUGUAGGAGGUAUCGAUCCCUUCUGUGCCGGAG
This 767-nucleotide ribosomal RNA is filed under the name uncultured bacterium. Its description in RNAcentral is "bacterial SSU rRNA". It matches the Rfam family "Bacterial small subunit ribosomal RNA", at positions 108 to 851 of the family's 1533-position model. The record is from RNAcentral.